AUGUUGCAGCAGCACAUAUACUAAAAUUGGAGCGAUUCAGAGAAGGUUAGCAUGGCUCACUGCGCAAGGAUGACGAGGAAAUUCAUGCCUGGUCUACAUGGGG
This 103-nucleotide small nuclear RNA is filed under the name Mus pahari (shrew mouse). Lineage: Eukaryota; Metazoa; Chordata; Mammalia; Rodentia; Muridae. The record is from RNAcentral.